AUACGUAGGUGGCAAGCGUUGUCCGGAAUUAUUGGGCGUAAAGGGCGUGUAGGUGGGUUACUAAGUCGUGUGUCUAAGUGCGAAGCUCAACUUCGUAUGGGCGCAGGAAACUGGUAAUCUUGAGUGCAGGAGAGGAAAGUGGAAUUCCCAGUGUAGCGGUGAAAUGCGUAGAUAUUGGGAGGAACACCAGUGGCGAAGGCGACUUUCUGGACUGUGUCUGACACUGAGGCGCGAAAGCCAGGGGAGCGAACGGGAUUAGAUACCCCGGUAGUCCUGGCCGUAAACGAUGGGUACUAGGUGUAGAGGGUAUCGACCCCUUCUGUGCCGGAGUUAACGCAAUAAGUACCCCGCCUGGGGAGUACGGCCGCAAGGUUGAA
RNAcentral lists this ribosomal RNA (377 nucleotides) under uncultured bacterium. RNAcentral describes it as "bacterial SSU rRNA". It matches the Rfam family "Bacterial small subunit ribosomal RNA", at positions 523 to 898 of the family's 1533-position model. The record is from RNAcentral.